CCUACGUGUGGCAGCAGUGGGGAAUAUUGGACAAUGGGCGCAAGCCUGACCCAGCAACGCCGCGUGAAGGAAGAAGGCUUUCGGGUUGUAAACUUCUUUUCUCAGGGACGAAGCAAGUGACGGUACUUGAGGAAUAAGCCACGGCUAACUGCGUGCCAGCAGCCGCGGUAAUACGUAGGUGGCAAGCGUUAUCCGGAUUUACUGGGUGUAAAGGGCGUGUAGGCGGGGACGCAAGUCAGAUGUGAAAACCACGGGCUCAACCUGGGGCCUGCAUUUGAAACUGUGUUUCUUGAGUACUGUAGAGGCAGACGGAAUUCCUAGUGUAGCGGUGAAAUGCGUAGAUAUUAGGAGGAACACCAGUGGCGAAGGCGGUCUGCUGGACAGCAACUGACGCUGAGGCGCGAAAGCGUGGGGAGCAAACAGGAUUAGAUACCCGUGUAGUC
This 443-nucleotide ribosomal RNA is filed under the name uncultured bacterium. RNAcentral's name for it is "partial 16S ribosomal RNA". It matches the Rfam family "Bacterial small subunit ribosomal RNA", at positions 338 to 795 of the family's 1533-position model. The record is from RNAcentral.